Long non-coding RNA from Ipomoea nil (Japanese morning glory), 395 nucleotides. RefSeq lists it as uncharacterized. The record is from RefSeq and is a predicted model, not a curated record. NCBI's taxonomy places the organism in Eukaryota, Viridiplantae, Streptophyta, Magnoliopsida, Solanales, Convolvulaceae. The transcript has 2 exons.
UGUUGAUCACUUCGGCUCGCUAUGAUGGCUCGGACACUUUACGGGUUGGUAAUGGUGAAGGAUCUCAUGACCAAGAAGGUGGUUUUUAAGGGGGGUACCUCGGGAGGUUUAUAUUAAUGGCCCACGCCUUCUUUGAGUCUGUCUGCUUAUAUUGCUGCGCGUGCAUCGUCUUCUACUUGGCACAAGCGGCUUGGUUAUCCACACACACGGGUUCUGCGUCAGAUUUUGCAGUUGUCCGGUGUUGGUUUUGUUAAUUCUAGUGAAUUGUCGCGUUUAUGUUCUUCGUGUCAGUUAGGGAAAUCUUCCCGCUUUUCUUUACCUCGUGUCGAAACAAAAAGUAUUCAUGUGUUAGAGCUUAUAUAUACUGAUAUUUGGGGCCCCGCGCCUGUGUACUC